Long non-coding RNA from Daucus carota subsp. sativus, 1000 nucleotides. RefSeq lists it as uncharacterized. Lineage: Eukaryota; Viridiplantae; Streptophyta; Magnoliopsida; Apiales; Apiaceae. The record is from RefSeq and is a predicted model, not a curated record. The transcript is spliced from 2 exons.
UCUAGCAGUUGCCCGGCAGGGAGGGAACAUAAUGUUUCUGCAGUAGAUUUCUCGAUAGAUAAGCUCAACUCAUGAGCAAUAACAGCUGAAAGUGCUCUUCUUUAGCAACUGCAUCAGUUUUCCUGGAAGAAAAAUUUAGAGUUGGAUGCUUCCUUUAGCACAUGCACAGACAGAAGUUGAAUUGCAAAGCUUUCAAGCACCAUCCCCUGCGAAGAUGAAUCGGUGAUGUUCUUUUUCUUCAUACUCUCCAUAUUUCUCUCUUUGGGUACUGACUCUUCUAUAUCUGUGUAUAAAUGAUAGAAGAUACACUUAAAGUUGAACCACAACCACAAAAGGAUUAAUAAUCACACUCACUCCAUAUAUACAAAGACUAAUGCUCCGUUUGGUUGGAAUGAUAGAAUGAAAGUGUGGAUAUCAUUUAUAAUAAAGUUUGUGCAGAAAUUGACUGGAAAGGAGAAUAAAGCAGAUAUAAAUUAUCAAAAUGGUGGGUUUGACCUCUAGUUUAAAUUGGUAGGAAAGAAAAAAAGGGGGAAGAAAUGAAGAUUUUGAAUAUUUAUCCACAACAUAGUAUAAAUUUCAUUCCAUUACUACCCAAGUUCAUUCCUUCCAACCAAAUGGAGCACAAGAGAACACAAAAGAAAUAUCAGAACAGUAUCAACCUUCACAUUUGUUUUGAGAUAAAUGAGUUUGGACAUUCUUAUGAUAGCUGGAGACAGUAUCAUCCUCCUUCCUAAAAUAGAAAAAGACUUGUAUAUAUCAAGCUUACGGGUCAAAAUGAUGAUUUAAAAUUGUAAAAGAGUCCAAAUGUCAAUGAAGCUUACAUUUGCCCCUCAAGAUCACUCUCAGUACUGUCCGGUGCCUCCAAGAUCUUAAUUGAUGAUACAUAUUCUGCUUGUUCUGGAAAACAUGUUUCUCUCAGACACUCCAUUUCUUGACUUUUAUCUUUUCCAACAUUAAAAUGACUGCAACUAUCUCCAGCAUCCAAGUCAUCCCCAGCAUU